GAACAUCUUAUAAAAUCCUAAAAUAUCCCACUAGUCAAGCUGUUUGUUCCAUAUUCUCUGAAUUCAAGCUCUUUAGGAAGUUAUGUGGUUAUUGGUGUGAUUGUGAAGCUGUUCAAUUGUUAAUGUGAACUUGUUGCAGAAUGUGGACAGGGCUGGCUAUAUUGUGUAGUGCAAGGGAGUGAAGAGUCCCCAGGCUAUGAACAUAUGUGGCUCAUUGCUGACUGCUCUUUGUGGCCAGUUGAUCCUAGGAAUAAAUUGGACAUGGAGGUGAAGACUCAUGAAUGUUGUGAAGAUGGUGGAUGUUACAAGUAUUAACUAGCAAAAGUGGUGAACUAACAUUGCACUAGUAAUAUGAAUAUCACUUACUUAAUGCUUGAGUGAUUGGCAAAGAGCAGUGUUAGUAUUACUCAUUACAGUCCUGUUUAUUUGUAUUCCUUUUUUUAGUCUUAUUACCUAGGAAGAGUCAUUCUACUCUGAUAAACUAGCAGCAUAAAUAUAACUAUUAGUGUAAUGCAGAAUCAAAGAGCAUGAGUCACACACAAUUUUGAGAUUAAUUCAAUAGUUGUACAUAGAAGAGACUCCACUAUUGCUCUCCAUUCAGAGUGGGAAGCACUGGCUGAAAGAGCCACCACCACAUUGGUUUAGUAGAGGAGUGGUGUUCCACAAACUGAUGAGGCUUCAAUGAACAAAGAUUCAUAUUUAAUAUUUAUUGCACUUAUAAUACAAUAAGCUAACCUGUACACUGAAUAUGUAUACCUUAUGUGAUCUGGGAGCCAAGAUAUUAAAAUGUCAAGGAUAA
This is a long non-coding RNA of Scylla paramamosain (green mud crab), 799 nucleotides long. RefSeq lists it as uncharacterized. NCBI's taxonomy places the organism in Eukaryota, Metazoa, Arthropoda, Malacostraca, Decapoda, Portunidae. The record is from RefSeq and is a predicted model, not a curated record. The transcript has 2 exons.